Molecule: RNA transcript, 407 nt
Organism: Electrophorus electricus (electric eel)
Lineage: Eukaryota; Metazoa; Chordata; Actinopteri; Gymnotiformes; Gymnotidae
Gene name: ladderlectin-like
Source: RefSeq, a predicted model, not a curated record
UUCCUGCAGAAUUUGAUUGCCUCUGCUGGUUUCCACUGGCUUGGAUUGGUGCUUACAACUUCCAGGGUACGUGGUUGUGGAUUGAUAGGGCAGGAUUCUACUACUCAAACUGGCUGUCACUGAGCAGUGUUUCCAGCUACCCUUGUGCCUACAUGAGAUCCAAUGCUGGCUGGUCAAACACAAACUGUGCAUCUACACUUUCUUUUGUCUGUUCUAUUAACCCAACCGUCUGUUGAAAAUACAUAAAUAAGUACAUUUCCACCAACACGGCAGACGAUUAUGAACACUAAGAGACUGAUAUCAAUAUUAUCAGCAUUUACAGUAUUACUGAUUUAAUUAAAUUGUUUUGAAAGCAGUUAAUUGAUUAAUGCUGUCUUUGUAUUCUUAAAAAUAAAAAGUCUAAUAUA